GCCAAGAAGUAAAGAUGUUUUUCAUUUUUGUUUUUUGAACCGGGUAUUUCAAGUGAACUCAUUCCCUCUUGGUUAUAUGCAGCCAGCGAGUUUGACGGUGGAUUUCAUUGAUGGUGAAUGUGACGAAGGAGAGAAGGAUGACAAGUGCAAUAAAUCCAUCAGUAACCAGAA
Rhinichthys klamathensis goyatoka is the source of this 171-nucleotide long non-coding RNA. RefSeq lists it as uncharacterized. The transcript is spliced from 2 exons. Lineage: Eukaryota; Metazoa; Chordata; Actinopteri; Cypriniformes; Leuciscidae. The record is from RefSeq and is a predicted model, not a curated record.